UCCCUGGUGGUCCAAGGUUAAGACUCUGCACUUCUAUUGCAGAAGGCAUGAGUUUGAUCCCUGGUCAGGGAA
RNAcentral lists this transfer RNA (72 nucleotides) under Ovis aries (sheep). It matches the Rfam family "tRNA". From Rfam's summary of the family: Transfer RNA (tRNA) molecules are approximately 80 nucleotides in length. The record is from Rfam by way of RNAcentral. Lineage: Eukaryota; Metazoa; Chordata; Mammalia; Artiodactyla; Bovidae.